UGGGGGAUAUUGCACAAUGGGCGCAAGCCUGAUGCAGCGACGCCGCGUGGGGGAUGAAGGCCUUCGGGUUGUAAACUUCUUUUGCUCUGAACAAGGCGCACUUUGGGGUGUGUUGAGUGUAGGGGUUGAUUAGCGCCGGCUAACUACGUGCCAGCAGCCGCGGUAAUACGUAGGGCGCGAGCGUUGUCCGGAAUUAUUGGGCGUAAAGGGCUUGUAGGUGGCUGGUUGCGUCUGUCGUGAAAGCUCAUGGCUUAACUGUGGGUUUGCGGUGGGUACGGGCUGGCUUGAUUGCAGUAGGGGAGGCUGGAAUUCCUGGUGUAGCGGUGGAAUGCGCAGAUAUCAGGAGGAAUACCGGUGGCGAGGGCGGGUCUCUGGGCUGUUACUGACACUGAGGAGCGAAAGCAUGGGGAGCGAACAGG
This 419-nucleotide ribosomal RNA is filed under the name bacterium. RNAcentral's name for it is "partial 16S ribosomal RNA". It matches the Rfam family "Bacterial small subunit ribosomal RNA", at positions 355 to 776 of the family's 1533-position model. The record is from RNAcentral.